This 497-nucleotide ribosomal RNA is filed under the name uncultured bacterium. Its description in RNAcentral is "partial 16S ribosomal RNA". It matches the Rfam family "Bacterial small subunit ribosomal RNA", at positions 28 to 507 of the family's 1533-position model. The record is from RNAcentral.
GAUGAACGCUGGCGGCGUGCCUAAUACAUGCAAGUCGAGCGAACAGACGAGGAGCUUGCUCCUCUGAUGUUAGCGGCGGACGGGUGAGUAACACGUGGAUAACCUACCUAUAAGACUGGAAUAACUUCGGGAAACCGGAGCUAAUACCGGAUAACAUGUUGAACCGCAUGGUUCAACAGUGAAAGACGGUCUUGCUGUCACUUAUAGAUGGAUCCGCGCCGCAUUAGCUAGUUGGUAAGGUAACGGCUUACCAAGGCAACGAUGCGUAGCCGACCUGAGAGGGUGAUCGGCCACACUGGAACUGAGACACGGUCCAGACUCCUACGGGAGGCAGCAGUAGGGAAUCUUCCGCAAUGGGCGAAAGCCUGACGGAGCAACGCCGCGUGAGUGAAGAAGGUCUUCGGAUCGUAAAACUCUGUUAUUAGGGAAGAACAAAUGUGUAAGUAACUAUGCACGUCUUGACGGUACCUAAUCAGAAAGCCACGGCUAACUACGUG